AACGAACGCUGGCGGCAUGCCUAACACAUGCAAGUCGAACGAGACCUUCGGGUCUAGUGGCGCACGGGUGCGUAACGCGUGGGAACCUGCCCUUAGGUUCGGAAUAACUCAGAGAAAUUUGAGCUAAUACCGGAUAAUGUCUUCGGACCAAAGAUUUAUCGCCUUUGGAUGGGCCCGCGUAGGAUUAGCUUGUUGGUGGGGUAAUGGCCUACCAAGGCGACGAUCCUUAGCUGGUCUGAGAGGAUGAUCAGCCACACUGGGACUGAGACACGGCCCAGACUCCGACGGGAGGCAGCAGUGGGGAAUAUUGGACAAUGGGCGAAAGCCUGAUCCAGCAAUGCCGCGUGAGUGAUGAAGGCCUUAGGGUUGUAAAGCUCUUUUACCAGGGAUGAUAAUGACAGUACCUGGAGAAUAGGCUCCGGCUAACUCCG
RNAcentral lists this ribosomal RNA (431 nucleotides) under uncultured bacterium. RNAcentral's name for it is "partial 16S ribosomal RNA". It matches the Rfam family "Bacterial small subunit ribosomal RNA", at positions 29 to 505 of the family's 1533-position model. The record is from RNAcentral.